Molecule: long non-coding RNA, 248 nt
Organism: Lolium rigidum
Lineage: Eukaryota; Viridiplantae; Streptophyta; Magnoliopsida; Poales; Poaceae
Exons: 3
Source: RefSeq, a predicted model, not a curated record
GGAUGCAUCUCCCAUGAAUGAACAUGAUAUGAUUAGCUUCAAUAUCCAAAAAGAUCCCUCCAUUGUCAGGCAAGGCGAGUUAUGACGAUAAUGUGAGAUGGAAUUGAAAGUGAGCAGACAUACAGUGUGGUACUCUAGCCAUAAAGUUUGAUGGAAAAUUAAGGGUAAAUGGCAGUGAGGGCGGAUCAAGGCUUCUUACUGGCCGUGACAUAAUGAGCUUAUGGGAUCCCCUUUGCAAGGUGCUACAC